GACGAACGCUGGCGGCGUGCCUAAUACAUGCAAGUAGAACGCACAGUUUAUACCGUAGCUUGCUACACCAUAGACUGUGAGUUGCGAACGGGUGAGUAACGCGUAGGUAACCUGCCUGGUAGCGGGGGAUAACUAUUGGAAACGAUAGCUAAUACCGCAUAAUAUUGAUUAUUGCAUGAUAAUUAAUUGAAAGGUGCAAUUGCACCACUACCAGAUGGACCUGCGUUGUAUUAGCUAGUAGGUGAGGUAACGGCUCACCUAGGCGACGAUACAUAGCCGAACGGAGAGGGUGAUCGGCCACACUGGGACUGAGACACGGCCCAGACUCCUACGGGAGGCAGCAGUAGGGAAUCUUCGGCAAUGGACGAAAAUCUGACCGAGAAACGCCGCGUGAGUGAAGAAGGUUGUCGGAUCGUAAAGCUCUGUUGUAAGAGAAGAACGGGUGUGAGAGUGGAAAGUUCACACUGUGACGGUAUCUUACCAGAAAGGGACGGCUAACUACGUG
Molecule: ribosomal RNA, 505 nt
Filed under: uncultured bacterium
Lineage: Bacteria
Description: partial 16S ribosomal RNA
Rfam family: Bacterial small subunit ribosomal RNA
Source: RNAcentral